This 489-nucleotide ribosomal RNA is filed under the name Ichthyoxenos tanganyikae. RNAcentral's name for it is "partial 16S ribosomal RNA". It matches the Rfam family "Bacterial large subunit ribosomal RNA", at positions 1797 to 2619 of the family's 2925-position model. The record is from RNAcentral. Lineage: Eukaryota; Metazoa; Arthropoda; Malacostraca; Isopoda; Cymothoidae.
CGCCUGUUUAACAAAAACAUUUCUUUACAGAAUUAUGUAAGGUAGGCCCUGUUCAAUGAGAGUUAAAUAGCCGCAGUAUUUUAUUGUGCGAAGGUAGCAUAAUAAUUUUUUCUUUAAUUGGGAGGUAGAAUGAAUGGGUUGACAAAAUAUUUAUUGUGCUAGUGCUUGAGUAGAAUUUUAUAAGGAGAUUAAAAUGUCUUCUUAAUUUAAAGGGACGACAAGACCCUGGAAACUUAUGAAUUUAUUUAUUUGACUGGGGCGGUUAAUAAUAUAAACAUUAUUGUAUUUUACAUUUAUAUGGAUUUUUUGAGCUUAAAUUGAGCAAGUAGGCAAGUUACUCCAGGGAUAACAGCGUAAUUAGGUUAGAGAGUUCAUAUCUAAGACUUAGUUGCGACCUCGAUGUUGAAUUAAAUAAACAUUUCGAAGCAGAAGGUGGAAAGGUGAGUUUGUUCAACUCUUAAAUAUUUACAUGAUCUGAGUUCAGACCGG